Pelobates cultripes (western spadefoot toad) is the source of this 300-nucleotide non-coding RNA. The record is from the annotation of a GenBank genome assembly. Lineage: Eukaryota; Metazoa; Chordata; Amphibia; Anura; Pelobatidae.
CGUCACUUCCGGUUGACGAACCCGGAAGUAAAGACGCUUAUACUAUGUAAAUGAAGAACAGCUGAAAGGAAGCCCCAGGAAAGGCCAGGGAUGAGGAAAGGAAGAGUUUCAACGCAUUUAAAAUGGAGCCGGGAAUCAGGAGAACGAUACCAAUUGAGAAAGCCUACAUAAGCAGCGAAAUGCAUCUUGGACUCAGAGGAGGACUAAAGAAGGACUUUUUAUAUUUAUAUUUUCUGUUUUAUAUACUUUUGUUUUAUAAUUAAAAGUCUUAUCUUGGAUAAGUUCCCUAUCUAUUCCUGA